RNAcentral lists this ribosomal RNA (429 nucleotides) under uncultured bacterium. RNAcentral's name for it is "bacterial SSU rRNA". It matches the Rfam family "Bacterial small subunit ribosomal RNA", at positions 355 to 776 of the family's 1533-position model. The record is from RNAcentral.
UGGGGAAUAUUGCACAAUGGGCGCAAGCCUGAUGCAGCCAUGCCGCGUGUGUGAAGAAGGCCUUAGGGUUGUAAAGCACUUUCAGCGAGGAGGAAGGCGUUGCAGUUAAUAGCUGCAGCGAUUGACGUUACUCGCAGAAGAAGCACCGGCUAACUCCGUGCCAGCAGCCGCGGUAAUACGGAGGGUGCAAGCGUUAAUCGGAAUUACUGGGCGUAAAGCGCACGCAGGCGGUUUGUUAAGUCAGAUGUGAAAUCCCCGAGCUUAACUUGGGAACUGCAUUUGAAACUGGCAAGCUAGAGUCUUGUAGAGGGGGGUAGAAUUCCAGGUGUAGCGGUGAAAUGCGUAGAGAUCUGGAGGAAUACCGGUGGCGAAGGCGGCCCCCUGGACAAAGACUGACGCUCAGGUGCGAAAGCGUGGGGAGCAAACAGG